GAUGAACGCUGGCGGCGUGCCUAAUACAUGCAAGUCGAGCGAACGGACGAGAAGCUUGCUUCUCUGAUGUUAGCGGCGGACGGGUGAGUAACACGUGGAUAACCUACCUAUAAGACUGGGAUAACUUCGGGAAACCGGAGCUAAUACCGGAUAAUAUUUUGAACCGCAUGGUUCAAAAGUGAAAGACGGUCUUGCUGUCACUUAUAGAUGGAUCCGCGCUGCAUUAGCUAGUUGGUAAGGUAACGGCUUACCAAGGCAACGAUGCAUAGCCGACCUGAGAGGGUGAACGGCCACCCUGGAACUGAGACACGGUCCAAACUCCUACGGGAGGCAGCAGUAGGGAAUCUUCCGCAAUGGGCGAAAGCCUGACGGAGCAACGCCGCGUGAGUGAUGAAGGUCUUCGGAUCGUAAAACUCUGUUAUUAGGGAAGAACAUAUGUGUAAGUAACUGUGCACAUCUUGACGGUACCUAAUCAGAAAGCCACGGCUAACUACGUG
This 497-nucleotide ribosomal RNA is filed under the name uncultured bacterium. RNAcentral describes it as "partial 16S ribosomal RNA". It matches the Rfam family "Bacterial small subunit ribosomal RNA", at positions 28 to 507 of the family's 1533-position model. The record is from RNAcentral.